GCUGAACGCUGGCGGCGUGCUUAACACAUGCAAGUCGAACGGAGCUUAAUCAGGAAGCUUGCUUUCAUUUUAAGCUUAGUGGCGGACGGGUGAGUAACGCGUGAGCAACCUGCCCUCGAGUGGGGAAUAACAUCGAGAAAUCGGUGCUAAUACCGCAUAAUAUCGGGAAUUCGCAUGUUUUCCCGAUCAAAGGAUUUAUUCGCUUGAGGAUGGGCUCGCGUCCGAUUAGCUAGUUGGUGAGGUAACGGCCCACCAAGGCAACGAUCGGUAGCCGAACUGAGAGGUUGAUCGGCCACAUUGGGACUGAGACACGGCCCAGACUCCUACGGGAGGCAGCAGUGGGGAAUAUUGGGCAAUGGGCGCAAGCCCUGACCAGCAACGCCGCGUGAAGGAUUGAAGUUCUUCGGAUUGUAAACUUCUUGCAUGGGGGAAGAAUAAAUGACCUACCCCAAGAACAAGCCACGGCUAACUACGUGCCAGCAGCCGCGGUAAUACGUAGGUGGCAAGCGUUAUCCGGAUUUACUGGGUGUAAAGGGCGUGUAGGCGGUUUCGCAAGUCAGAAGUGAAAUUCCCGGGCUUAACUCGGGCGCUGCUUCUGAAACUGCGGAACUUGAGUGCUGGAGGGGAUAGCGGAAUUCCUAGUGUAGCGGUAAAAUGCGCAGAUAUUAGGAGGAAACACCGGUGGCGAAGGCGGCUAUAUGGACAGUAACUGACGCUGAGGCGCGAAAGCGUGGGGAGCAAACA
RNAcentral lists this ribosomal RNA (744 nucleotides) under uncultured bacterium. RNAcentral describes it as "bacterial SSU rRNA". It matches the Rfam family "Bacterial small subunit ribosomal RNA", at positions 28 to 774 of the family's 1533-position model. The record is from RNAcentral.